This 377-nucleotide unclassified non-coding RNA is filed under the name plant metagenome. RNAcentral's name for it is "partial contains 5.8S ribosomal RNA, internal transcribed spacer 2, and large subunit ribosomal RNA". The stretch from base 1 to 104 matches the Rfam family "5.8S ribosomal RNA", at positions 51 to 154 of the family's 154-position model. The record is from RNAcentral.
AAAUGCGAUAAGUAAUGUGAAUUGCAGAAUUCAGUGAAUCAUCGAAUCUUUGAACGCACCUUGCGCUCCUUGGUAUUCCUUGGAGCAUGCCUGUUUGAGUAUCAUGAAAUCUUCAAAGUAAAUCUUUUGUUAACUCAAUUGGUUUCUACUUUGGUAUUGGAGGUCUUUGCAGCUUCACACCUGCUCCUCUUUGUUCAUUAGCUGGAUCUUAGUGUUAUGCUUGGUUCCACUCGGCGUGAUAAGUUAUCUAUCGCUGAGGACACUGUAAAAGGUGGCCAAGGUAAAUGCAGAUGAACCGCUUCUAAUAGUCCAUUGACUUGGACAAUACUUUUAUGAUCUGAUCUCAAAUCAGGUAGGACUACCCGCUGAACUUAAGC